GUGGACUCAAAUGGAAGAAAGAAUUGAAAUUCACAUACUAAUACCUAAUGCUGCAGCUAUGCCACGGCAUAGGACCAAUGAAUUGGGUUUGGGAAUUCUAAAAAUUUGGAUGCCAAAAUCAGCUUUGUUGGGCUUCAGAACACGUCUUAACCCAAUUCUGGAGAUGAACAACAAACCAGAAGGUCCAGCAGAAGCCUAAACCAUAUGCCUAAGGAGAAAAUAACAAAAAUUCAAAAGAUGAGGGACCUAGUCUUCAACUUCUUCAACCACAUGGAGUGAAUCAAGAAAGCACUUACCAGCCUUGAAAUAAUUAAGGAAACCGCAACGUACAUGGAGAAAAUCAUGCAAACAACCACCAACUUUGAGAAAAUAAAAAGACUCCCUCCCUUCAAUAUAACAACUCAUUUUUCAGCUAUACCAGAAACGG
RNAcentral lists this long non-coding RNA (427 nucleotides) under Gossypium raimondii (Peruvian cotton). Its description in RNAcentral is "long non-coding RNA (GRAI_LNC008482)". Lineage: Eukaryota; Viridiplantae; Streptophyta; Magnoliopsida; Malvales; Malvaceae. The record is from RNAcentral.